CUUUGAGGAUCAACUGGCUGAGGGUGAGAGGAAAAUCUCCAAUCUUCGUGGUGGACAGAUUGACUGGGGAAAAGACCUUUGCCUUGCUGGGACCAUCUAAGGACACCACAACUUGAAUUCCUGAUACCUGACCAAUCAUUGAUUCUGUAUAUGAGGUUCCGUGUCACAUGCCCCUGUAUCAUUGUUGACAGUGCUACUCCUGCCAGGGAACCACUCUUUCCCCUUUAGCUGGCUUUUGGAUUACUGAAAAUGGAACCGCUGUCUCUCAAAUCAGGUGAUCUGAACAUCAUUUUGGAAACCAGUGGAGCACCCUCUGUUUCUCCUGUUCUGCUGGGUCACAAUACUCCACAC
Molecule: long non-coding RNA, 351 nt
Filed under: Monodelphis domestica (gray short-tailed opossum)
Lineage: Eukaryota; Metazoa; Chordata; Mammalia; Didelphimorphia; Didelphidae
Description: lncRNA (ENSMODG00000037376.1)
Source: RNAcentral